This 13638-nucleotide long non-coding RNA is filed under the name Homo sapiens (human). RNAcentral's name for it is "HSALNT0369894". The record is from RNAcentral. Lineage: Eukaryota; Metazoa; Chordata; Mammalia; Primates; Hominidae.
CUGGGUCCUUGUCUGGUUGUGGUAUCAGGAUAAUGCUGGUCUCAUAGAAUGAAUUAGGAAGAAUUUUCUCCUCUUUAAUUUUUUGGAAUACUUUGAGAAGAAUUCGUGUUGUUCUUCUUUAUAAGUCUUGUAGGUUUCCACAAGACAGUCAUCUGGUCCUGGGUUUCUCUUUUUUUGGGAGAUUUUUUAUUACUGAUUCAGUUUCAUUAAUCAUUAUUGGUCUGUUCAGGUUUUCCGUUUCUUUUUGUUUCAGUCUUGGUAGGUUGUAUGUCCAGGAAUUUAUCCAUUUCCUCUGUUAUUCAGACCAAAAUCUUGAAGAACGAAUCCUCAGAAAGCCCAUCAACUGCUACUCAAAUGGCGACAAGCCUGCAAGCACAAGGUUUAGUGAGAGUAGAAUUGCUGCUAACAGUGAAUGUGGAGGAUUCUGAUCUCAAAUUGUAGAUGGUUCUGUGAGGCUUUUUGAAGUCUGGCCCAUAUCUAGGCCUUUAAACCUUAGUAAUAGGGCAGGGGAUCAUCUAAAUUUAGGUCUACUUAUUUUCCAUGCGUUCGAACAUUUUGUUGUUGUUGUUGUUAGACCAAACUUGCUUCAAAAUUGACUUGAACUGUAGUGCAGUUCUUGGCAUGUUUUACUAGUAAUAAUAAAAAAAUCACUUAAUGAUCGCUAUGUGCAAGGCAUUGUGCUAAUACAUACACACGUUUUGCAUAUACAUAUGUAUAUUUCACUGACUCUUCAAAACCGUCUUUUUCCUUUUUGCAGUAAGCAACAAAAUUAUUCAUUCAUUUAUCUCACAUUCUUGGGCUGAGUUAUGGACUAGGGCUGCCAAAACACAUGGCCCCUGAGCCGUAAGAACUUAGUUUACUGAGGAUCAGACUUUUAAACAAAUAGUUACCAUGCAGUGUGAUGACUGCAUUAGCAAAAACAUAUCUAAAAUACAGCCUAGAAAAAAGGUAAUUAACUUUUCCAGACAGGAGAGAGGUGUUGUGGUGUCAGGGGAAUUUAAUUUUAAACAGGACAUGGCAUCUGAACACAUUCUUUGUAAGUCCCAUCUUUUCUCCUCAAGCAUGAUCUAGCUACUCUGACCUUCUCCUGGUCUCUUCUGCUCAAACAGCACGUUUUCCUUUAUCUUACAAUUGCACUCUUUAUUCUGCAGACAGUCCUCUCUUGCUUUAUUCACUGAUAGUUUAUUGUUCAUGGCUGCCUCUUUUUAUUUUUACUUUUAAUCACAUUAUUAAUUUUUAUUUUUUGUAGAGUUGGGAGUCUUCUUUUGUUGCCCAGGCUGGUCUGGAACUCCUGGCCUCUAGUGAUCUUCCUGCGUCAGCUUCUUAAAGGGCUGAGAUUACAGGUGUGAGCCACCAUGCCCGGCCUUCUUUUAAGUACAAUUAAAAUUUUUUUUUUCUUUAGAGGUGGGGUCUUGCUAUGUUACUCAGGCUGGUCUUGAGCAGUUCUUCAAAUUAAAAUUUUAAUAACUUUCUUGAGGAAUGAUUCAUAUAUUGUAAGACUAACCUGUUUUAAAUGUAUAAUUCAAUGGUUUUUAAAGUAAAUUUACUGAGUCAAAAACCACCACUUGAAGUAGUGGCAUUAAUCUCAUUUUCUCAGGUGGAGAGUGGGGCUCAGGGAAAUGAGGUUUUGGAUCCGUACACAUCCAGCUAGUCCCUCGCAGAGCUGGAAUUCAAAUGAGUGUAAUGGCUCAUUAAAGCAUACUUAAGUUUGCAAGAGGGAAAUAAGCCCAUGAAGUUUUUGAGUAGAAGGGCGCCUUUAUUACCUUGGAAUCUAAGGACUAGUUAUAUCAUGAAACUAGAAAGUGUCAUUCACAGAGGGUUUAGGUAAAAACACUGGCAAAGAGGACUGAAUUAUGUGUAGUUUGAAAGAUGAGUGAAAAUACUCUAACAGUUGACCCAACAAUCCAUGUGUGUAGCAAAGCCACAAAUUAAAAUGUUUACUUGCAAUGUUAAUAAUGAACCGCUUUGGUUACUUUCAUUCUAAACCAUUAUGCUUAUUAUUUAGCUUUCCAGGGUACUUACAAAUGUUAAUUUCCUGAUAGAGAAUAUUUUCUUAUUCUCACCCCCAAGCAAGCUGUGACAUGGAAUAGUCCAACAGUCAAUUCAUAAGAGCAAGGCUCUCCCUCUCUUUCCCAUCCAAAUUAUGGGGUUUGAAAUGUUCUGACAAUUGAAUUAGUUGACUGGUACAACAGUAGCGAAUGCUUUGUAAUUUGUGUUGCCUUCAGAGAUGGCAAAAAUUAGGCUGCUGCUAAUAGACCAGAACUGUCUGGACUCUGACAAGCUUCCCUCCUGCCUUCAGCAGAAGGGAGGACAGCGGCUCCUGCUAUUCAACUCUGAAUUAUGUUUUACAUGCCACAGUUCUGAUUUUUUUUUUUUUUUGAGACAGAGUCUCGCUCUGUCACCCAGGCCGGAGUGCAGUGGCAUGAUCUCGGCUCACUGCGAUCUCCGCCUCCCAGGUUCAAGCGAUUCUCCUGCCUCAGCCUCCUGAGUAGCUGGGAUUAUAGGUGCGCACCACCAAGCGCAGCUAAUUUUUAUAUUUUUAGUAGAGACAGGGUUUCACCACGUUGGUCAGGCUGGUCUUGAACUCCUGACCUCGUGAUCUACCCGCCUCAGCCUCCCAAAGUGCUGGGAUUACAGGUGUGAGCCACUGCGCCCGGCCCGCAGUUCUGAUUUUUGAAUAUCAAUGCUGGGAAAAUGACAGCAGUGCUCGAGAUAGUUGCUGACAGGGUAAAGCUACCUAUUCCCUUUGCUAAAAGGAAGGCUCAAACGCAGCCUGUGCAGAGGGCUCUGCUGGGUUAGUAUGCUGGGCUCCUCUCUUUAUGCGUUCAUCAUUCCAGUAAUGGAGUUGAAUGUGCAGAAGGCCUUCCCCGCCCCUGUUUUUGGGCUAAGAAGCCACAGGAAUAGUCUCAAUUCAAUACUGGGACACUCAGGCAGGGAUAACUAGAUUGUGUUAUACCUUACAGGUCAAUAUCAAAGGAAAUGUAUUUCAGAUGAUUCUAAGUUCAGUAUUUUAUUUCAUAUUCAGCAAACUAAGGCUAGGUCAGAGUCAGUUUUCAGGAAGUAACCUAACACCCCUCCUUUGCCCUAAAAUGGGAGUUCACAAACUUUUUCUGUGAAGAGGCAGAUAGGAAAUAUAGGCUUUGUGGGCCAUAGGGUCUCUUAUUGCAAUGACUUAACUCUGCCUUAAAAUGUGAAAGCAACCAUAGACAACACAUGAAAUGAAUGAAUGUGGUUGUGUUCCAAUAAAACUUUACUUAUGGAUGCUGAAAUCUGGAUUUCAUAUCAUUUUCACAUGUCAUAAAAUACUAUUAUUCUGAUUUUUUUUCAAUCAUUUAAACAUGUAAAAACCAUCCUUAGCUUGUGGAUAAUACGAAAACAGGUCAUGGGCUGGAUUUGGCCGGUGGAUUGUAAUUUGCCACCCUUUGCCCUAAAGCAUUAGAGAUUCCUCUAAUGUAUUCCAGGUAUGCGUGCAAUUGUUUUCCAGUAUGUGAGCCAUCCUUUUCUGCCAAAGUCCGUCUACCUAUUCAGGAGGUAAUGCAGAGUGACAUGGAUAGAAAACCAGAAACCCAACUGAAACCAGGACAUUUCAGUCUUCCGCCUUCAUCACUUGCUGCCUCCUCUCUCUCUCCCUCACACACCUCUACUUGAUGCUCAUGGCACCCUUUCUUGAUGACAUGGGAUCUCAUUUCUAUUCUUUGGGAUCCUGGUAAGUUGCAUUAAUCAGAAAUGUAGAAUUUUGCAUUAAAAUUAAAAUAAAGCAAUUAGCAUUCAGCAGAAUGUUACAGAAGUAGUAAGGGCAAGGAUAUUGUUUCCUUUACAGAAGUGGGUUUGGAAAGAUCUAUUUGUUUUCUUUAUUCAUUUUCAGAUAAUUUCUCAUUACUGGUUAUAAAAUGAAAUUAGUUGAGUAUUACAAGCUGUGUGCUCUAAUACAAAUUUAUUGAAGUUCUAUUUGAAUGGAUUUUUUUAGUGCUUAUGUAGUGAAUAGUGGUUAUUUGGGAUGCAGAGGUCUCUCUGAACUAUGGACAGGUGCAAGAACUGUUCAGGCACACCACAGUUAUUGGUUGGUUGCAUGAAUAGUCUGUGAGAUGAGACCCAAGAUCAGGUUAGAGUUCACCUAUGCUCAGAAAUUUGGUGCUCAAAUAAUGGUGUAAUGGAGGCAGCAUUGCACUAUGACCUCUAAACUGACGCAUACAGGCUUGUGACUUAUUUUUCACAUCUGUGAAAUAGAGAUGAUUGACAUGCACUUGAUUUGUCAGAAUCAAGUGAGACAGUUUAUGUUUGCCAAGUCUGAGUGUAGUCUCUCGUUCAUGGUUCACAAACUGGGCUGGUUAUUAGAAUCAGUUGUGGAAGUGAGUGGGGCUUUCAGGAAAUACAAAUUCCCAGGCUCACCCCAGACUUACAGAAUCAGCAUUUCUAUGAUAGGACCUAGAAGUCUAAAUUUUUUAGACUUUGGGAAGCUCUGAUAUGUUCCAUAAACCUCAGCAAUGGAUUUAAGUAAACCAAAUACUUCCCUCAACCCAAGCUUGGACUUUUUCACUAAAAUUUCAUACCAUUUGUCUUCAUGAACAAUAAAGGUAUAGGAAGAAAGAGGGUCAGGAAGGGUACAAAGUAUCUUCCCUUUAUCUUCUUGGGGACGUCUGUUUCAGCAAGUAGAAGCAGAGCAAGAGCUGGUGUUUCAUUGUCCAACCUGGUGAAUGAACUCCAAUUGCGUUUUUUACCCCUUCAGCUCUCCCUCUGCAGCCCUGAGAUUUAUGGUGUUGUUUUCACCUUCUUCUGUGCAUUGAAGCAUAUUUGUGAAGGAAAGUCUAGAUUGUGCACAUCAUAAAUGUACAACAGAUUGACAAUAUCCUUUCCAGUUUUGCUACUCAAAACUCAUCAUUGAAAAUGUCUUUUUGAGUUAUUUCUGGAAAUAACACAAUUGUAGUGUUGGCACAUAUAGAUCACAAACACAAAAAGAAUCUCGGUAGUUCUAAAAAGAUAAACUAAUUCUGAAUUUCUCACAUUUUCUGCAUUGCUGCUAAUUUACAUGUGAGUAAUUGUAGAUUUCAAAUGAAUGAAAGCAUCCACCUCCACACUGGAAGCCCAGAUUGUUUACCGCAGUAGAAUUCAGUAGUAUGUACAUACACACAAAUGCUCUCAUAUAGUACUCUGCAACUUCCUGAUGUUUGAGAGCCACAACAAAGUAUUCUUCUGUUUACAAAACUUCUACCACAAAUAUUAAGUAUUUACUAUUUUCCAGGUACCUUGUUAGCAAUUUAAAUAAGGCAUAGUUCCACAGUCCUUAUCUUGGAAGUUCACAGGCUAGAAGGAAGAUGAUCAUGAAAUAAAUCACUGUAGAAAAAAUAAGCUUUAAUAUUAAUCCUUUUUAAAAUCAAAUCAUCUUUCAAACUGUAUUCGUUAUAAAAGUAGAGAAUUUUUCCCAUGGAAAAAAUACGAGAUCAAUGUAUUCACUCUGAUCCUUUAUACUAUAUCCCUGUUUUUAUUAAUUUUAAGGAGCUAAUCCUUUGAAAGUAAGUAGAUGCCUAACAAAUAUGUGAGGGACUAACAGGAGAGUAUCUUGUACAUGUAAUAAUGCAGUUGGAUGUGUUCAUACCUGUUGUGCAGCAUCCAUUUCAAGCUUCAGCUAUCUCUGGAAGAUGACUUUGUUUUUUUUUUUUUGAAAUGGAGUCUCGCUGUGUCACCCAGACUGGAGUGCAGUGGCAUGAUCUCCACUCACUGUAGCCUCCGCUUCCCGGGUUCAAGCAGUUCUCCAGCCUCAGCCUCCCAAAUAGCUGGGACUACAGGCACACACCACCACACCUGGCUAAUUUUUUUGUAUUUUUAGUAGAGACGGGGUUUCACUAUGUUGGCUAGGCUGGGCUUGAACUCCUGAACUCAAGUGAUCCUCCCACCUCGUCCUCCCAAAGUGCUGGGAUUGCAGGCGUGAGCUACCACGCCCAGCCUGGAAGAUGUCUUUGGAUACUGGGUCUCUACUCUGUGUCUCCAAGUCUCCAGAGAUAAUUUUCAGCAAAUUCCUGAAUACCACCACUUUCCUACUCUCUAAUGUUUCUUAAACUCAAUAUAUGAAAAAUAGAACUUAUUCUUACUCUCAAACCUGAUCUUUUCUUUUAGGUUUCUUAUAUCAGGGAGCCCUGUUGCCAUUUUUCCAGAUGCAGAGGCUUCAAACUUUGACAUCAUCUCUGACUCUUCCUCCCUCUUGACCCUAAUCAGGAGCCAGAUGCUAUUGGGCCUUUGUCUCCCUUCCUGUCCACUGGAGCUAAUUUGGUUUGGCGCUGUGUUCCCACACAAAUCUCAUCUCGAAUUGUAAUCCCCAGUGGUUUUCCCCAUGAUGUUCUUGUGAUAGUGAGUUCUCACAAGAACAGAUGGUUUAAAAGUGUUUGGCAGUUCCCCACCUCUCUCCUGCUGCCAUGUAAGACGUGCCUUGUUUCCUCUUUGCCUUCCACCAUGAUUCUAAGUUUCCUGAGGCCUUCCCAGCCGUGCAGAACUGAGUCAAUUAAACCUCUUUUGUUUAUAAAUUACCCAGUCUCAGGUAGUAUCUUUAUAGCAGUGUGAAAAUGGACGAAUACAGGCACCUUCCUGCUAUUAGAUCUUUGUUUCUCAAACUAGCAUCCAAGGACUCUUAAAAGGCUCCAUGCAAUAUUCUUGGGGAUUUGAGUGUUCCUCAUCUUAGGUUUUACAUGUCCGGGAUAAUCUAACAAUUUUUGUUUUUUUGAGACGGAAUCUCGCUCUAUUGCCCGGGCUGGAGUGCAGUGGCGCAAUCUCAGAUUACUGCAACCUCCACCUCCCAGGUUCAAGCGAUUCUUGUGCCUCAGCCUCCUAAGUAGCUGGGCAUAUGCCACCAUGACUGGCUGAUUUUUUUUGUAUUUUUAGUAGAGACGUGGUUUCACCAUGUUGUCCAGGCUGGCCUUGAACUCCUGACCUCAGGUGAUCUGCCUGCCUCACCCUCCAAAAGUGCUGGGAUUACAGUGUGAGUCACCACACCUGACCCACAAAAUUAACAAGUAUGUGUUUGGGGUCAUCAAAAUUUAUAAUUGAUGAGUGAUUCUGCUGCAGACUUGAACAUUCACAUUUGUGUUGUGUUUGUGUGUUGGCUCUAAGUUGGGCAACUCCUCCUCUGGGCUCUCUUUGUGCCAUGCUUUGUUCUUGUUACAAUUGUGUGAGUCCAACUUUCCUAGUGAACUGUGAGUUCAGAAGACAGGGACCUUGUCUGGUGUAUUUCUGUGUCCCCAGAACCUAGCAUUGGGCCUGGCACAUAGUAGGUACUUAAGCUUGUAGCUGUUGUGCAUAUCAUGUUUUGGAGUCUGCUUUUGCUCCCAUACACAUUCCCAUGCAUGGCUGUAGUUAAUUUAAUGUUUAUGUAGUAUUUAGUCAUGUUGAUAGAUGACAUUUGGCUUAACCAUCCUUUAUUUUUAGAUGUUUGGAUUAUUUUCAUUUGUUGGCUAUUUUAAGUAGCAUAGUUAAAAACAUCUUUGAGAAAAAUUAUUUUCUCUCAUCUAGAUUGUUUUCUUGGGAAUUCCUUAAUGAAAUCACUAGAUCAGCCAGGGGCUGGGGCUCAUGCUUGUAAUCCUGCACUUUGGGAGGCCAAGGUGGGCAGAUUACUUGAGCACAGGAGUUCAAAACCAGCCUCGGCAAAAUAGUGAGACCUUGUCUUUACAAAAAAAUUUAAAAGUUAGCUAGGUAUGGUGGCUUGUGUGCCUGUAGUCCCAGCUACACAGGAGGCUGAGGUAGGAGAAUGGCUUGAACCCACGAGGUUGAGGCUGCAGUGAGUCACUGCACUCCAGCCUGGGCAACAGAGCAAGACCCUGUCUCAAAACAAGAAAUUACUAGGUCAAGCAGUUUUAUUCCUCUUGUAAUAUGAUUGUAGGAUUUAGUGUUUAUGAAGAGAUCAGACUGAGUCAUAAUGGAUAAACUCUUUUUAGAUAUGUUUCUUUCAUUGGAAUCAAAGUUGAAAGAAAAAAUGAAGAUGCUUCUCCUUCUGCCACCUCACCAACGUUGCUCACCUGGGCCAUUUCCCUUCCUCUGGUUUUUCCAUCUGCAGCCACAACUUCAGUGAUGGAGGAAGUACAUGUUAGGUCAGCCAGAACCACGUUUCCGACAUGCAGAUCUAAUCAUGUUGUCGGUCAAGACACAGCGGUGGCCUUCCAUUGCCCACAAGAUCAAGUCCAGCCACACUGUCAGGGCCGACAGAGUCCUUCAGGGUGUGGCCUCUGUCUCCCUUUCUAGGCUUCUCUUUGGCUGCUGCCCAGAUGCACUCCCUGCCCACCCAGCAGGCACUAUUUUCAGUUAGGAAUGUACAUGCUGUUCCCUCCAUCUGAAAGGGACUCCUCAACUCCUUCCUUCUGGUAUCACCUCACUCACCCUUCAAGGCUCAGCUUCAAGUCCCAAGUACUGCCCUCCUCCCAGCCCUAAUAAGGUAAUAACCUGCCCCACCCCAUUCUCUCAGAAUUUUUCCAUCCUUCGUUAAAGACUUUGUCACCCAUAUUGAAGCUCUUUGUUAGUUUUUUUCAUCUUUUUAUUUAGAUUAUGAGCUCAUUAAGGACAGGAUUUUUUUUUUUUUUUUUUUUUUUUUUCUUGAGACAGAGUCUCACUCUGUUGCCUGGGCUAGAGUGCCAUGGUGCGAUCUCAGCUCACUGCAACCUCUGCCUCCCGGGUUCAUGCCAUUCUCCUGCCCCAGCCUCCUAAAUAGCUGGGAUUACAGGCAUGUGCCACCAUGCCUGGGUAAUUUUUGUAUUUUUAAUGGAGAUGGGGUUUCACCAUAUUGGCCAGGCUGGUCUCGAACUCCUGACCUCAAGUGAUCCACCUGCCUCGGCCUCCCAAUGUCCUGGGAUUACAGGCGUGAGCCACUGUGCCCUGCCCAGGACAGGACUUUUGUCAGUCACUUUGUGACUAGCAUAUAGCUGGUCCUCAAUAAACAUUUUCUGAAUGAAUAGAAUUGUUAUUUUGGUUUACAUAUAUAUAUGUAAAGUAGUUAAGGUAAGUCUACUUAUUGAUAAAUUGAGAACCCUUUUAUUCUAUCUAUGAUAAUUCUCAGUUGUUCAGAAUAUCAGUAAAUGUAUUAAACUCUUCCUUCUCCAACCAUUUGACAUGCGUUUUUUUGUUGUUGUUGUUGUUUUGUUUUUUUUAAUGGGCAGCAGUUGUAAUUUUGUUUAUUAACUAAACUGUAAACUCUAGACUGUAAGCGAUGUGAAGAAAUGUCGGUCGGGUGCCGUGGCUCAUGCUUGUAAUCCCUGCACUCUGGGAGGUCAAGGCAGGAGGAUCACUUGAGUCCAGGAGUUUGAAACUAGCCUAGGCAACAUGGCAAAACCCUGUCUCUACAAAAAAUACAAAAAUUAGCCGGGCGUGGUGGCAUGUGCCUGUAGUCCCAGCUACUUGUGGGGCUGAGGUGGGAAGAACGCUAGAGCCUAGGAAGUCAAGGCAUGCCAUCAAGUGAGCCAUGAUCAUGCCACUGCACUCCAACCCAGGCAACAGACCGAGACCCUGUCUCAAAAAAAAAAAGAGAAAUGUUGGAUAAACGUGGUGGCUCACGCCUAUAAUCCCAGCGCAUUGGGAGGCCAAGGCAGAAGAAUUGCUUGAGUCCAGGAGUUUGAGACCAGCCAGGGCAACAUAUAGAGACCCUGUCUCUACAAGAAAAAUUUAAAAAUUAGCCAGACAUGGUGACACACACCUGUAGUUCCAGCUACUCGGGAGGUUGAGGUGGGAGGAUCGCUUGAGCCUGGGAGGUCGAGACUGCCAUGAGCCAUGAUUGCAUCGCUGCACUCUAGCCUGGGUGACAGAGAAAGACCCUGUCUCAAAAAAAAAAAAAAAAAAAAGAGUCUAGUUCACCACCAUUUCCCUAGUGCUUAGUACUGUUGGGAACCUGGUACCCAUUAGGCACACAAUAACUAUUUGUUGAAUGAGUGGAAAGGUUGAAAAAAGGCCCAAGCAUGUGGCAUAUCACAAACCUUGACAUUGGGAAAAUUUAUGCAUACAUAUCUGUCCUAUUUCAUUCACCAUUCUUCUAUUCAUGUGUCCGUUUAACUCGCUGUUUUCCUUGAUAACCCCUGUGGCCUCUUCUAUGUCCACCAUUUCAUGACUCUGAAGGCGUAUUUGAGUCCUGUCAUCUCCUGCCCAUCUCUUCAGUGGGACACAUCUUGGAAUACAAACUUCAAGCCAGGAAGCUAAUACCUUGGUGUAGUAAGCAAGAUAGUCCCUCUGUCCCACAACAAAGAGGUCAGAGUCUCUAAGGCUGGCCCCUUCAUUUACCUCCAAUAUGAAGUCCAAAUCAACCUCCUGUUGUUCCUGGGAAUAACUAACUAAAUCACAUCUGCACGGCGGAGCUGAUUUAUAGGGAUGUGAUGUUAUCUGGAGCCUGCUGCCAAAACCUGCAGAAGUCAUCUUGAGGGAAACAUGAAGUAUUGGCAGAGAGAUCACAUCUCCCCUUUCCUAUAUUGAGUCUUCUUGGGAUAUGUGUUUCAUUUCUUGGGAUCCUGGUGAGAAUUUGCAUGUUUUUGACCACAGCAUAUUACAAGGAAAAAUUCCAUCUACUAAUUAGUUUCUCCCUUGGAUUACUAGUCCUAUUAAAAAGCUUUGUAAGGGAAUAAGAAACUGAGGUAGUAAUUACUAGUGGGGAAGGAGUAACAUAGUUUCAUGAGAGGAAAAUGUCCUCAACUAUGUUUUGGAGCAAUGGGAGACAGAAGAAGACUUAAAAACAAAUACAAAAGCAACCUGGGAUGGCGGCAAAAGUCUUGCUAUUUGGUUCAUUAAAAAAGGUGUUAUAAAUUCUCAAUGACCUACUCCUAGGCUUAGGAGUCCUAUUAAAACCCUGCUGUGUGAGAGCUAAAAUCUUAAUUGAAAAUAGAGCAGAUUGAGCCAACACUGUUAUUUAUUAAAGCUAUUGUCAAUGCUCACUGCUCUCAAAUGGAUUUUUCUUAUGAUGCUGGAAGGACUAUGGGAAGCUUUGCAGUCCAGAGCAUCAUUUAGCUUUAGCUGCAGGGCUAGCUGGAAACCAUAGUGCCUAGCAGCACAGAGCAGGGGCUGGGUGUCUGAGUGGCAGGGGCUGACAUAGCUGUACUAGAAGGAGGGUUGCACCCUCGUGGUAGAUGGCACAAAAUGAGGCUGACUCCUAUGUCAGGACAGAUACAUGAGCAGCCACAGGAGCAAAUGAAUGGUGCCAUGCACACAGAAGAAAGCCAAAUGUUGGAUGAAAGAGCACCAGGGAGGGCAGAGGAAGGCCAGGUCUUGGAUCUGAUAAAGAUGCUGUGUUUCGGUAGCUCUGUAUCCAAGCCCGUUGAAGUAUCCUUGGCUCUUAAUUUCAGGGGAAGCUAAUUCUUUUUUGUUUAUUUUUUUGAUUGUGGGUUUAAAAAAUGGAUACAUGAUAUUUUACAUACUUAUGGGGUACAUGUCAUAUUUUGUUACAUGCAUAGAAUAUGUAAUGAUCAAGUCAGGGUACCCAUCACCUUUAGUAUUUAUCAUUUCUCUGUGUUGGGUGCAUUUCAGGUUUUUGCUUCUAGUUAUUUUGAAAUACUGCAAUACAUGGUUUGUAACUAUUACAGUCACCCUACUCUAGUUUUUUUUCUUCUUCUUCUUUAGAUGGAGUCUUGCUCUGUCACCAGGCUGGAGUGCAGUGUCGCGAUCUCAGCUCACUGCAACCUCCGCCUAUCAGGUUCAAGGGAUUCUCCUGCCUCAGCUUCCCGAGUGACUGGGACUACAGGCACAUGCCACCAUGCCCAGCUAAUUUUUGUAUUUUUAGUAGAGAUGGGGUUUCACCACAUUGGCCAGGAUGGUCUCGAUCUCUUGACCUUAUGAGCCUCCCACCUUGGCCUCUCAAAGUGCUGGGAUUACAGGCAUGAACCACCGUGCCUGGCCGUACUCUGCUCUUGAAUAUUGGAACUUAUGCCUUCUAUCUAAGUCUAGGUUUGUACCCAUUAACCUCUUUUCAUCGCCCUCUCCCUUCCCAGCCUCUAGUGUCUAUCAUUCUACUUUCUACUUCCAUGACAUCAACUAUUUUUUAGCUCCUACAUAUGAGUAGUAUUUGUUUUUCUGUGCCUGGCUUAUUUCACUUAACAUAGUGAUCUCUAGUUCCAUCCAUGUUGAUGCAAAUGACAGGAUUUCAUUUCUUAUGGCCAAAUAGUAUUCCAUUAUGUAUAUAUACCAUAUUUUCUUUACUCGUUCGUCCAUUGAUGUACACUUAGGUUGAUUCCAUAUCUUUGCUAUUGUGAAUAGUGCUGCAAUAAACUAUUGUGAAUAGUGCUGCAAUGCACGCGUACCUACCCUUUGACAUACUGAUUUAUUUUCCUUCGGAUAAAUACUUAGUAGUGGGAUGGCUGGAUCAUACUAUAGUUCUAUUUUUAGUUUUUUUUUUUUUUUAAAUCUCCAAACUUUGUUCCACAAUGGAUAUACUAAUUUGUAUUACCACCAAUAGUGUGUAAGAGUUCCCUUUUUCCACAUCAUUGCCAGCAUUUUUUUGUCUUUUUAGUAAUAGCCAUUCUAACUGGGGUAAGAGAUCUCGUGGUUUUGAUUUGCAUUUCUCUGAUGACUAGUGAUGUUGAGCAUUUUUUUUUUUCAUAUACUUCUUGGCCAUUUGUACAUCCUCUUUUAAAAAAUGUCUAUUCAUGUCCUUUGCUCACUUUUCAAUGGAAUUAUUUAUUUGUUUGUUCACUGUUGAGUUGUUUGAGUUUCUUGUAUAUUCUGGAUAUUUGUCCUUUGUUUGAUGAAGAGUUGGCAAAUAUUUUCUUCCAUUCAACAGGUUGUCUCUUCCCUCUGCUGAUUGUUUCCUUUGCUGUGCAGAAGCUUUUUAGUUUAAUAUAGUUCGAUUUUUCUAUUUUUUUUUUUAUUCCUGUGCUUUUGAGGUUUUAGCCCUUGCCUAGACCAAUGUCCUGAAGUGUUUUUCCUAUGUUUUCUUCUAGCAGUUUUAUAGUUUUGGUUCUUAUGUUUAAGUUUUUAAUCUCUCUUGAGUUGAUUUUUAUAUAUGUUGAAAGAUAGUGGUCCAGUUUCAUUCUUCUGCAUAUGGCAAUCCAAUUUUCUGAACACCAUUUAUUGAAUGGGGUGUCAUUUUCCCAAUGUGUGUUUUUGGAGGCUUGGUCGAAAAUCAGUUGGUUACAAAUAUGUGGAUUUAUUUGUGGGUUCUCUAUUCUAUUCCAUUGGUCUCUGUGUCUGUUUUUAUACCAAUACCAUCCGUUUUGGUUACUAUAGCCUUGUAAUAUAUUUUGAAGUCAGGUAGUGUGAUGCCUCCAGCUUUGUUCAGUAUUGCUAUUUGGGCUCUUUUAUGGUUCUAUAUGAGUUUUACGAUUGUCUAUUUCUGUGAAAAAUGAUGUUGGUAUUUUGGGCAGUAUGUUUAUUUUAACAAUAUGAAUUCUUCUGAUCCUUGAGCAUGGGAUGUCUUUCCAUUUGUUUGUGUUCUUUUUAAUUUCUUUCAUCAGUGUUUUGUAAUUUUCCUUAUAGAGAUCCUUUACCUCUGCUAUAGUUUGGAUAUUUGACUUGCGAAACCUCGUGUUGAAAUUUAUUUCCCAUGUUGGAGAUGGGGCCUCAUGGCAGGUGUUUAGGUCAUUGGAGCAGAUCCCUUAUGAAUAGAUUAAUGUCCUUCCUGGGUGGAUAGUUCUCACUUUAUUAUUUCCCACAAGAGGUACUUGUUAAAAAAAGCCUGGUGCUUUCUUCCCCUCC